GGCAGGCAAGCGCCGGAAUUUCCCCGAGUUGCCGGUAGGCAGCAGCAUCCUUCGCGAUGUGGAUCAGGGGCCCGGGGGCCUGCCACAAU
This 89-nucleotide non-coding RNA is filed under the name unclassified sequences. Its description in RNAcentral is "DUF3800-VII RNA". It matches the Rfam family "DUF3800-VII RNA". The record is from Rfam by way of RNAcentral.